Molecule: ribosomal RNA, 253 nt
Filed under: uncultured prokaryote
Description: partial 16S ribosomal RNA
Rfam family: Bacterial small subunit ribosomal RNA
Source: RNAcentral
UACGAAGGGGGCUAGCGUUGUUCGGAAUUACUGGGCGUAAAGCGCGCGCAGGCGGUUUUCCAAGUCAGUGGUGAAAUCCCGGAGCUCAACUCCGGAAUUGCCUUUGAAACUGAUCGGCUUGAGUACGGGAGAGGUGAGUGGAAUUCCCAGUGUAGAGGUGAAAUUCGUAGAUAUUGGGAAGAACACCGGUGGCGAAGGCGGCUCACUGGCCCGUUACUGACGCUCAGGCGCGACAGCGUGGGGAUCAAACAGG